RNAcentral lists this ribosomal RNA (485 nucleotides) under uncultured bacterium. RNAcentral describes it as "bacterial SSU rRNA". It matches the Rfam family "Bacterial small subunit ribosomal RNA", at positions 43 to 523 of the family's 1533-position model. The record is from RNAcentral.
CAGGCCUAACACAUGCAAGUCGAACGGCAGCGCGGGAGCAAUCCUGGCGGCGAGUGGCGAACGGGUGAGUAAUAUAUCGGAACGUGCCCAUUAGUGGGGGAUAGCCCGGCGAAAGCCGGAUUAAUACCGCAUACGACCUGAGGGUGAAAGCGGGGGAUCGCAAGACCUCGUGCUAUUGGAGCGGCCGAUAUCAGAUUAGCUAGUUGGUGGGGUAAAGGCCUACCAAGGCAACGAUCUGUAGUUGGUCUGAGAGGACGACCAGCCACACUGGGACUGAGACACGGCCCAGACUCCUACGGGAGGCAGCAGUGGGGAAUUUUGGACAAUGGGCGCAAGCCUGAUCCAGUAAUGCCGCGUGCAGGAAGAAGGCCUUCGGGUUGUAAACUGCUUUUGUCAGGGAAGAAAUCCUUUGGGUUAAUACCUCGGAGGGAUGACGGUACCUGAAGAAUAAGCACCGGCUAACUACGUGCCAGCAGCCGCGGUAA